GGACACUGAAUACCUCUCUAGACCAAUCUCCUUCAUCUUCUGAGCUAGUAAGCUGUCUUCAAUGUCCCCUUUGUAAUUUGAAACCAGAUUUAUCUCUCCUUCGAUGUCCAAUGUGGGAAGGUAUUUUGGUGAAAUUUCAGAUAUAAACUUUUCUUUUGCUAUGCACUCUCCAAUGCUAAAGGGUCUUUCCAUUAUCCUACCUUGCCUUUGUCCAUUGACAUAAGCUAUACAUUACAACAAAGAAUUUUGUCAUAUUGGUAUACUUGUAAAUCAUACACAGCACAUGCAUUAGAUUUUUAAGCUCUUUCUUGUAUUUUUACCUGUUGAAACAUGAAGAAAUAGCCUAAGGUUCUUGCACUUUUUGGCAAUGUUCAUGAGACGGCAUGGCCCUAAGGUGUUUAUGUUGAUAGCAGUGUCAUAUCUGAUCACAUCACAAUAGUCAAAUGAUUAGACAAAGAACUCAUUAUUGGUGCAGAAGCUUUUGGAGAGUUAUAGAGACCAACCUUUCAUCAAAUGUUGUAUUAGCUGCAGAAUUUACAAUGACAUCUACCUCCUCUUCAAUAACAUUCGAUAUAUCUUCAUCUAGUCCAAGAUUGUGUUCACAAAUAUUGCCCACAACAGGA
This 623-nucleotide long non-coding RNA is filed under the name Phaseolus vulgaris (common bean). RNAcentral describes it as "long non-coding RNA (PVUL_LNC002436)". The record is from RNAcentral. Lineage: Eukaryota; Viridiplantae; Streptophyta; Magnoliopsida; Fabales; Fabaceae.